RNAcentral lists this transfer RNA (68 nucleotides) under Uranomys ruddi (white-bellied brush-furred rat). Its description in RNAcentral is "tRNA-Asp". Lineage: Eukaryota; Metazoa; Chordata; Mammalia; Rodentia; Muridae. The record is from RNAcentral.
AAGAUAUUAGUAAAAAUAUUACAUAACUUUGUCAAGGUUAAAUUACAGAAUAAUAUCUGUAUAUCUUA